Long non-coding RNA from Nicotiana tabacum (common tobacco), 632 nucleotides. RefSeq lists it as uncharacterized. The record is from RefSeq and is a predicted model, not a curated record. NCBI's taxonomy places the organism in Eukaryota, Viridiplantae, Streptophyta, Magnoliopsida, Solanales, Solanaceae.
AAGUCUGAAGGCUGCAAUAGUGCAAAAAAGAAGAGGAGUCGCCUCCCUGAUCUUCUCCUUCUCUCUCCACCGAUCUCUCGGAUCGAAAUACAAAGCAAGGAAUUAAAAACAAAGAGAUUUCAAAAUUAGUUUCCUCCUUUAUGUGUUGCGACAUGUUUUCUGGGGAUUUGAACGAUUAUUUUGAGCUUUGAAGUGCUAAUCACUAUCGAUUGUUGCUGGAAAAGCCUUGCUGAGCUUCACCCUUGAGAAUUUUAACAUUUAUUCGACCUUCGAGAUCUGUCUCCCUUUUUGCCGAUAGCUCUUGCUUGGCUUUCUAGUUGUUUUAACUGCUGAUUAAGGUCAAUUCUAGUCCAAUGAUGUGUGAUGAUAAAUAUACCAACCAUUGUGUAGCUUGACCAUGUUGAGUUUCCACUUGAACGAAUGGAAGCCAUCACUUCUGUCAUUUUCAUAUGUUGAGUUCUUGGAGUUAAUUUAUAAUUUUUAAUUCUGAGCAAUCUUAUAUUAAUGUUUGUAGAAGUUUCUUUUUAGCUAUUUUUCCAUUGUUAUGUUGAUGUAUGAAAAUCAAGUUGAAAGAUUAGUCAAAUGUAGUUAUACACAUUUCUGAAUUCAAUUCGGACUCAUUUGGUUCUUAA